CCAAUUACCAUCAUAAUUCACACAAGCCUAGGGAAGAUUUUUGAGAAGGUUCAUCCUUCUUUGUAUUGUCUUCCACUUCUUCCUUAAACACUUUUUUUUCCUUCAGAUUCUACAGUAGUUUGUUUUGUGUUUUAAUGUUGCUUAGACAACACCUCAUCUGUUGAACUGAUCCCAAUAUAUCCUUUCUUGUGCAUCAAAAAGAAGUACGCUAUGACAUACUUAAUCAAGGAUUUGGGUUCUCUGAAUGGAACUAUAUAGCAGAAGUAUAGAAUAGCUUGCAUUGGAAGGGACUUAAAAGAUCAUCUAGUCCCAAACCCGUGGAUGCCACCCACUAGAUCAGGCUGCCCAGGGCCUCAUCCAGCCUGGCCUUGAACACCUCCAAGGACAGGGUAUCCACAGCUUCUCUGGGCAACCUGUUCCAGGGUCUCACCACCCUGAGUGAACAAUUUCCUCUUAACAUUUCAUCUAAAUCUCUCCUCUUUUAGCUUAAAACCAUUCCCCCUUGUCCUAUCAUUACCUGCCCGAGUAAAAAUUUCCUCUUCAUCUUUUUUAUAAGCCUCCUUUAAAGUUCUGAAAGGCUACAAUGAGGUCUGCCUGAAGCCUUCCAUCCUUCUUUCAGUUACAGAAGUCUCAAAACAAUUAAAGUCGCACACAAUAGAUCUAUAAAUAGUACAGAACUAAUCUAGAAUCAAUCUAGAUAUCAUCUAAACAGUAACAAUUUACUAGAAUUAUGAUGAUAAUCCAAUGGUAAUAACACUGCCUGGAUGCUUCUAUAGUCCUCAAAACAGAAUGUAUUCAACAAUAGAAUGAGUUGUUUAGUAAAAUGCUGUGAAAGAUGGGACGUAGCCUUAUUCUGAUGCAACUACACAUAAAAUUCCAUGUGCUACUGUAAGAUGGCAAUAUGUCACUCAAAGAAUGGUCAAAAUAUGCUUCCCUUUUUCAAUAGAAAGAUUAAAUUAGAGUAAAUCAAUCAAAAAAAGGAAACCAUUUGCCACUACGCAUUAAAUAUUUUUAAGCAGUUAUUUCAGUAUUGUGUGUUUUUGUUUUUUGUUUUGUUUUUAAUUGGAAAAGCAGUAUUAGAAUAGAGGUCAGAGGUGUUUGUGUUUCUGUCUAUUAUUUCCACUAAAGCACUAUAUGCUUUUGUUUAUGGAACCUGUUAAGUAAACUCUAAUCAAUAAAUUGCAUCAAAACAAGUCCAUGUCACACACUGUGUACACACACACACACAGAGUAACAGAAUAUACAAGCAUAAAACAUUAAUACAACAAUAUCCAACAAUUCCCAAAAUGAACAACACACAUUAGCAUGCUGGCACACUCAGUGGCAAACCGUUUUCUUGCUGGGUAGACUCUUUAUCACAGAAGAGACGCAGAAUAUUCAUUGGUUCCAAAUCCUAUAAUCAUCCAACAAUACUACAUUACCAACGAUGAGUUCAUAACUUCAUCUUUAAGUUCAGUUAACUGAAGCAAUCGUAGAAAAUCUUACCAUUCUUACUAUUUGGCCAAGAGUUUUUCUUCGAGUAUUACACUCUUCAGGCUUGAGCACCAUAAUUACAAGAAUCUCCAUCAAGAAUGCUUCCAUAAACUGAAAUAUCAUAGCUGUGUGGAUCUGCUGCCCUAAAAACCUACAAAGGGGAACUUACAAAAUAUACAUGACACAUGGAAACAGAGGAGUUACAGACAGUAUUACAUUUCUUAGACUGCAAAGAGUGCAUCGUGUUCCAAGUUCUAGAUAAAGGAUAAAUUUUGACCUGUGAUAUAACUGAGAACCCCAUUCGAAGACGAUCAUCAUCUGAUCAAAUUGUGAGAUGCAAAGUUUGACUUCAGAUAAUCAUUUGCCCUACCAAUUAAGCUAAUUCCUUCUUUAAAUACACUAACAACAACAACAACAAAAUAAUAAUUGUUAAAAACAGUUUUAAUUAAUCAACGAAUGCAGGGAGCAUGCAAAAUUUCCCUCUACCUUGCAGCAUUUAAGAAUAUCCCUACAUACAGUGUUGCUACAUUUGUUAAAGAUGAUAAUUUUUUGAGUGGCUCAUAGAAGCAGGCACACCAUCCAUGUUUUCUUGUCAGAGCCAUCAACUCUGGUACUUUUCUGCCGUGUCUCUCCAUUAAGUGCAAAGGGCAAAACAUGUAUAGAUUGCUACCAUUCAGCUCUGGUAGCAUUAUAAGUAAUUACAGAAAAGCUACAUUUUGAAUUUGAUGUUUGUUUUUAUGUAUCAUAUUACUGACUACUAACUUAGUACGAACUUUGUAAAAACAAACCAUUAUAAAAGCAGGAUAUGUCUAAGGACUCAUUUUUGGGAGUUAAUUAUUUUCCUGACUGGGUAUUUAUCAGAAUUGAUCUAUUUAUCACCACUUAUUAUUAGAAUCCUAUCACAAAGAUUUUGAAUACCAAAAUCCUAACUUCAAUGCAAACACAGAAAAAUGUAAUUAAGUAAAUCACCAUUAUCUACCAGAGAUAUCCAUGUAUCCAUGUAUAUCAGAGUAUACCUACAAAAUCCAAACUACCACCAAUUUAUUCUUAUCUGAAUAAGACACCAUUUUCUACUGGCUUCCAAAGUCAGCGCUGGUAGUGCCCAGGCAGAAGGGAAAUCUGUGCACUUGUCCACAAAUAAUGGACAAAGACACAAAGUGACACGGGUAGGUUUACUCACCUGCUUGUCUGGAUCCACCCUAGAAUUUUAAAACAUUGCAGAGCCUAGACUCUAGGAACACUCAAGAUUCCCAUCAACAUCUCUUGCCUGCAAGCUUUAGAGGUAUGGGCUGCACCUAUUUGCUAUACCACCUGUUUCCCACUGUUCUAACUCCAUAUGAAGGAACACCUUUGUAUAACCUUCAUCUAAGCACCAAAAACAUGGCAGUGUUGGAUGCAUGCGUGUGGUUAGUCUUGCGUGAUUUCAAAGAUCUUGGGAAUAUUUUCUGUGAUACAUAAAGAAAAAAACAUUAUGUGCAUCUAGAAGCAUUUGCAUACCAUAAGGCAGGCCGAACAGAGUGAAAAAGGAGAAUAAAAAUCAAGGCAAGCAAGAACAUUAAAACAGUAAGGUUCCUCAAUAUAGGCAGAAAAUAUUUGCUUUAUUACACAGGCUUUUAUGUUUCAGUACAGUUUAUUAGCCAUGGGGGGGAGGGAGAAAACAAAAAUUAGUUACCUUUGUAAACACCAUUUCACCAGGGUUAUUUAUUUUCAGGAACAUAGCAAACUUUCAUGAGGCAAUGCGAACACUUACACAUCAAUCUCACACAUUCCUCACUGCUUUAAAUAGAACCUUUUAUGCUACUUACCUGUGCUGAAUUUUUAUUUUCUGUGCAAGAGAAAAUGUGAUUUGAGUGACAGAGAAACAUAAAUCCUUUCGAUUGGUAACUGUUAUGAAUCAUCAUUAUUUCUAAUGUAGUAGUACUGAAAGACCUCAAACAAAAUCAAAACUUUUCCUAGUUCCACCUCAAGCUGAGGGACAAUAGUAGCUUCUAUUUUUAUCUUGUUUGGAAAGAGCACGGUCACCAUUACCCUGUCAAUUUUAGAAAAAUAGGUCAAGUUCUUAUUAUCAAGUUCUAAACCUAUUUACAGCACUAUAAGUCUUUUCAACAUAUACUUUGCAUACACAGUAACACUCAGAGAACAGAACCUGAUUUUCAAUCAGUGAGUGAAGUCAGCCAGUAAUCAAACAAACCUAAUAGAGCCACAUCUGGCUUAUGUAUUUGAGUACAGUUCACUUCAGUUUUCUGAAAGCAGAAGUCAUCUUUAACACCAAAUUUCCAGCUGUGUUUGCACUCCAUAUUAUACUGUGGCUAGCAAAGCACUGUAUAUGUCUAAAAAUAUAUGUAAGAAUUAAUUUGUACAGGGAAUGAUGUUAUCUCAGCUAUGCUGAUUUCACCUCUAAAUAAGAUCUCAUUUCUUAACAAGGCAGGAGGAAACUGUAGACACACUUUCAACUACACAGUUAACCUGUUAUUGGAACAAUGUCAGACUGCUGAGUUUAUCAUAGCAGAAGAAAGUCUAUAUUCAUUUAGGUAUUGGCUUAACCAGAGGCGGCUCUGCUAAUCUCAAGCCAUUGAAGGUCUGUUUCCUUUCUUCUGGAGUUUGCAAUUUUCUUUGUUCUAGGAAAUGUCCAACUUCUCCACCAUUUCAAAACUUUGAAAAUAUGGUUAUUGUUCAUCUUAUACUCGAUUUACUGUGUGCAAGAAAAAAUUCAUCCUGAGGAUUUAUCUAACAAAAUAGAGACAAUAUAUAUAUCUUAGUACUGUUUGUCAACUUUAUGAUACUAAUUUCUUCUCUACCAAGCAACUUCAUUUCAUUUAAUAACUCUCACACGAUAAAAGGACGAAUGAAAAAAAAUACCAAACCCCUGUU
Cygnus olor (mute swan) is the source of this 4344-nucleotide long non-coding RNA. RefSeq lists it as uncharacterized. The transcript is spliced from 3 exons. The record is from RefSeq and is a predicted model, not a curated record. NCBI's taxonomy places the organism in Eukaryota, Metazoa, Chordata, Aves, Anseriformes, Anatidae.